This 292-nucleotide ribosomal RNA is filed under the name uncultured bacterium. RNAcentral's name for it is "partial 16S ribosomal RNA". It matches the Rfam family "Bacterial small subunit ribosomal RNA", at positions 505 to 796 of the family's 1533-position model. The record is from RNAcentral.
GUGCCAGCCGCCGCGGUAAGACGGAGGGUGCAAGCGUUGUUCGGAAUUACUGGGCGUAAAGCGCGGGCAGGUGGUCUUUUAAGUCCUUUGUGAAAUCCCGGGGCUCAACUCCGGAUGUGCAUAGGAUACUGGAAGACUUGAGACUGGUAGAGGCGAGCGGAAUUCCUGGUGUAGCGGUGGAAUGCGUAGAUAUCAGGAAGAACACCGGUGGCGAAGGCGGCUCGCUGGGCCAGUUCUGACACUCAUCCGCGAAAGCGUGGGGAGCAAACAGGAUUAGAAACCCUGGUAGUCC